CGAAAUUUUUCAUUUUGUUGCAGCAAAAAGAUAAAUGGACGAAUUCCAUCUACUUCCUCAUUAGUUGACCGAAAAAUUAUAAAAUUGACUUAUUUUGACCAACUAAAAGCAUGAUAAAAUUGUAACUUUAUAUUUUCCACAUAAAAUAAUUAAAAUUGAUCAAAAAUUGAUCAAAUCGUUGAAUUUUGAUCAACUAAUGGGGGCUUGGAUGAAAUUCGUCCAUUCGUCUUUUUGCUACAACGAAAUGAAAUGUUUG
Molecule: microRNA precursor, 256 nt
Filed under: Olea europaea subsp. europaea
Lineage: Eukaryota; Viridiplantae; Streptophyta; Magnoliopsida; Lamiales; Oleaceae
Source: RNAcentral